RNAcentral lists this unclassified non-coding RNA (433 nucleotides) under uncultured Russula. Its description in RNAcentral is "sequence contains ITS2". The stretch from base 1 to 154 matches the Rfam family "5.8S ribosomal RNA". Lineage: Eukaryota; Fungi; Basidiomycota; Agaricomycetes; Russulales; Russulaceae. The record is from RNAcentral.
AACUUUUAGCAAUGGAUCACUUGGCUCUCGCAUCGAUGAAGAACGCAGCGAAAUGCGAUACGUAAUGUGAAUUGCAGAAUUCAGUGGAUCAUCGAAUCUUUGAACGCACCUUGCGCCCCUUGGAAUUCCGAGGGGCACACCCGUUUGAGUGUCGUGAGUAUCGUUCCACCUUUCUUGGUUUCUUAACCGGGGAAGGCCUGGACUUUGGGGGCCUUUCAUUGCUGGCCUCUUUGAAGCCAGCUCCUCCUAAAUGGAUAAGUGUGGUCUGCUUUGCCGAUCCUUGACGUGUUAAGUUGUUUCUACGUCUUGGGUUUCGCACUGUCGCUUUAGACCCCGCUUCUAACCGUCUUGCAUUCAAGACAGAGUUUUAAGCCUUGACCUCAAAUCGGGUGAGACUACCCGCUGAACUUAAGCAUAUCAAUAAGCGGAGGCU